UACGAACUGUGCGAACGUUAUUCGGAAUCACUGGGCUUACAGGGUGCGUAGGCGGCUUUUCAAGUCAGGUGUGAAAGCCCCCGGCUCAACCGGGGAAUUGCGCUCGAAACUGGAGAGCUCGAGUCAGCUAGAGGUGCACGGAACUUCCAGUGGAGCGGUGAAAUGUGUUGAUAUUGGAAGGAACACCGGAGGCGAAAGCGGUGCACUGGGGCUGGUCUGACGCUGAGGCACGAAAGCCAGGGUAGCGAACGGG
This 253-nucleotide ribosomal RNA is filed under the name uncultured bacterium. RNAcentral's name for it is "partial 16S ribosomal RNA". It matches the Rfam family "Bacterial small subunit ribosomal RNA", at positions 524 to 776 of the family's 1533-position model. The record is from RNAcentral.